GACGGACGCUGGCGGCGUGCCUAAUACAUGCAAGUUGAGCGCUGAAGGUUGGUACUUGUACCAACUGGAUGAGCAGCGAACGGGUGAGUAACGCGUGGGGAAUCUGCCUUUGAGCGGGGGACAACAUUUGGAAACGAAUGCUAAUACCGCAUAAAAACUUUAAACACAAGUUUUAAGUUUGAAAGAUGCAAUUGCAUCACUCAAAGAUGAUCCCGCGUUGUAUUAGCUAGUUGGUGAGGUAAAGGCUCACCAAGGCGAUGAUACAUAGCCGACCUGAGAGGGUGAUCGGCCACAUUGGGACUGAGACACGGCCCAAACUCCUACGGGAGGCAGCAGUAGGGAAUCUUCGGCAAUGGACGAAAGUCUGACCGAGCAACGCCGCGUGAGUGAAGAAGGGUUUCGGAUCGUAAAACUCUGUUGGUAGAGAAGAACGUUGGUGAGAGUGGAAAGCUCAUCAAGUGACGGUAACUACCCAGAAAGGGACGGCUAACUACGUG
RNAcentral lists this ribosomal RNA (497 nucleotides) under uncultured bacterium. RNAcentral's name for it is "partial 16S ribosomal RNA". It matches the Rfam family "Bacterial small subunit ribosomal RNA", at positions 28 to 507 of the family's 1533-position model. The record is from RNAcentral.